Molecule: long non-coding RNA, 676 nt
Filed under: Homo sapiens (human)
Lineage: Eukaryota; Metazoa; Chordata; Mammalia; Primates; Hominidae
Description: HSALNT0355239
Source: RNAcentral
CCAGGCCGUUGGCCCCACCCAGAGUGGAGCUUCUCACCCACUCCCUCCCCUUCCUUUCUGCCGUCAGUCCCCCAAUAGUGUCACAAUAGUCCCCUAACAGUGUCCCACUGGCCAUCUUUGAUGACCAGGUGUGUAGCAGGUUCGAGCCCGGCUUGGAAGUUGUUUCUACUAUGAGCCAGGCACUGCCUGAGCACCUGGGUCCCACCAGUGAACAAAUAGACGACAGUCCCCGCCCCGGGGGACUAGCCUUUUCCUAGCAGGACACAGAACCCCAAACACUCACAGAAUAAAGAGGCGCAGCGGCUUACAUCUGUAAUCCCAGCACUUUAGGAGGCCAAGGCAGCAGACCACUUGAAGUCAGGAGUUCAAGACCAGCCUGGCCAACAUGGUUGAAACCCUGUCUCUACCAAAAAAUACAAAAAUUAGCUGGGUGUGGUGGCAUGCACCUGUAGUCCCAGCUACUCGGGAGGCUGAGGCAUAAGAAUCACUUGAACCCGGGAGACAGGGAUUGCAGUGAGCCAAGAUCAUGCCACUACAUUUCAGCCUGGGUGACAGAGUGAGACCUUGUCUCAAAAAAUAAUAAUAAUAAUUUUUAAAUGCAUAUUUUUGUGUAUGUUGCAUAUAUAUGAUAUAUAGAGAUAUAGCUUAUUUAGUAUAUAUUAUUUUCUAAUUAAUA